UACGUAGGGUGCAAGCGUUACUCGGAAUUACUGGGCGUAAAGCGUGCGUAGGUGGUUUGUUAAGUCUGAUGUGAAAGCCCUGGGCUCAACCUGGGAAUUGCAUUGGAUACUGGCAAGCUAGAGUGCGGUAGAGGAUGGCGGAAUUCCCGGUGUAGCAGUGAAAUGCGUAGAGAUCGGGAGGAACAUCUGUGGCGAAGGCGGCCAUCUGGACCAGCACUGACACUGAGGCACGAAAGCGUGGGGAGCAAACAGG
This 253-nucleotide ribosomal RNA is filed under the name uncultured bacterium. RNAcentral's name for it is "partial 16S ribosomal RNA". It matches the Rfam family "Bacterial small subunit ribosomal RNA", at positions 524 to 776 of the family's 1533-position model. The record is from RNAcentral.